UACGGAGGGGGCGAGCGUUAUUCGGAAUUAUUGGGCGUAAAGGGCGCGUAGGCGGCUGUACAAGUCAAAGGAGAAAUCCCUCGGCUCAACUGAGGAACUGCCUUUGAAACUGUACGGCUUGAGGCCGGGAGGGGGUAGCGGAAUUCCCAGUGUAGCGGUGAAAUGCGUAGAUACUGGGAGGAACACCAGUGGCGAAGGCGGAUACCUGGACCGGUUCUGACGCUGAGGCGCGGAAGCGUGGGUAGCAAACAGG
RNAcentral lists this ribosomal RNA (253 nucleotides) under uncultured bacterium. RNAcentral describes it as "partial 16S ribosomal RNA". It matches the Rfam family "Bacterial small subunit ribosomal RNA", at positions 524 to 776 of the family's 1533-position model. The record is from RNAcentral.